RNAcentral lists this ribosomal RNA (497 nucleotides) under uncultured bacterium. Its description in RNAcentral is "partial 16S ribosomal RNA". It matches the Rfam family "Bacterial small subunit ribosomal RNA", at positions 28 to 507 of the family's 1533-position model. The record is from RNAcentral.
GAUGAACGCUGGCGGCGUGCCUAAUACAUGCAAGUCGAGCGAACAGACGAGGAGCUUGCUCCUCUGACGUUAGCGGCGGACGGGUGAGUAACACGUGGAUAACCUACCUAUAAGACUGGGAUAACUUCGGGAAACCGGAGCUAAUACCGGAUAAUAUAUUGAACCGCAUGGUUCAAUAGUGAAAGACGGUUUUGCUGUCACUUAUAGAUGGAUCCGCGCCGCAUUAGCUAGGUGGUAAGGUAACGGCUUACCAAGGCGACGAUGCGUAGCCGACCUGAGAGGGUGAUCGGCCACACUGGAAGUGAGACACGGUCCAGACUCCGACGGUAGGCAGCAGUAGGGAAUCUUCCGCAAUGGGCGAAAGCCUGACGGAGCAACGCCGCGGGAGUGAUGAAGGUCUUCGGAUCGUAAAACUCUGUUAUUAGGGAAGAACAAAUGUGUAAGUAACUAUGCACGUCUUGACGGUACCUAAUCAGAAAGCCACGGCUAACUACGUG